GUCAUUAAAAAAUCACAUUAUUUCUUUGUUUUUGCUUUUUCUAAAUAAAGGGGUCUGAACCAGCAGGUGGUCUGAAUGAAUUAUUAAGUGCACCAAUUUACGGAGGAAUUUGUUUUUCACUACAACGAUAUGAGAUCCGUAAGGGAUAAAAUUUUCAAUGACCAAAAUUGACACACAUACACGCAAUUAUUCUAUGUCAGAAAAUAAUAUAUGUUUUGUAAUAUUAAAAUAGGGAUAUCCCCUUUUUU
RNAcentral lists this long non-coding RNA (248 nucleotides) under Mytilus galloprovincialis (Mediterranean mussel). Lineage: Eukaryota; Metazoa; Mollusca; Bivalvia; Mytilida; Mytilidae. The record is from RNAcentral.